CUCGCCAAAACCCUCAGAAGGCAUCUUGAAGGCCUUAUUCCCCGCCUUCGGCCACCAUGAUUUGCUUCGGGCUUCGGCUCAAUUAACCCAGUGAGUGCAGGCUUCUCCAUUGAGAUCCCUUUGCACAUGAAGCACCGCCCACCAAAGUUGGAGCUGCCAUCGACAUGGUGCCCGCCGAUGAGUGCAUCCACCUCCAUCAGCUGCGGAAUCUCCUGGGAGUACACCCGCAUGCUCCUGCCCCUCUUGUUCUCCAUAGGACGCUGGCGGCGACACCGCGAGCCUCUACCCCCGCUGAAGUGGAUUCAAACCUGACAGUGGAGGCCCACUGUGAGGAUUCUAAUUUUAUUUGACCGUUUUUCUAAAAUGUAUUCUUCCAGAAUACGCCUUCCCCGGUGGCCCAUAUAAUUUCACUAGAGUGCUUUGCUUCUUUCCA
Long non-coding RNA from Hordeum vulgare subsp. vulgare (domesticated barley), 433 nucleotides. RefSeq lists it as uncharacterized. The transcript is spliced from 2 exons. The record is from RefSeq and is a predicted model, not a curated record. NCBI's taxonomy places the organism in Eukaryota, Viridiplantae, Streptophyta, Magnoliopsida, Poales, Poaceae.